CGGAUAAUCGGUGCUGAUCUGUCAUUUGUUACUGUGGGUCUGAGUUUCACCGUUGCAAAGGGGUUUUCUCCACUGAAAAGAAAUGCAUGAAGUUACUUGAAGGCUUUCUGCAGUCUAACCCCGAAUUUAUUCACUCAGGUCCUUCAUCCAAGCUGCUGUCAAACAGUAAGUUAUGGCUCAGACGUGGGGAUUCUGUGCAACUCUUAAAAUUCAAGUUUAACUUGAAUUUUUAAAAUGAGGUUGCACAUGAAGAAUCACUUUUCAGUGAGCCAAAAGUUUGGGAAGUUAAUGCCCAAUUACAUCUGGGCUUUUAAAAAUAGCUCCCAGUCUUCAAAGAUUUUUGCCUUUAACCCUCAACGUCAGUUAAAGAAAGGUUUUAAGUCCUGUUCUCUGUCAAGCUACUAGAGAAACAUAUUUUUCUGAGAAGGGCCUGUGUACUGCACUUGAUGCCAAUCUUGAGAAAAGUGCAACUAAUUUUAGCCAUAUUGUUCUAGCCUGGGAAAGGUCUUGGAGAAAUUAAGGAUAAACAUCCUUAUUUCCCCUUAUAAUCAUUAAAAUAAAAUAAGUCAAUAAAAAACUGCAACAAAAUCAGUGGAAAAGUAUUUUACCUUAGAAAAGGUGGUUUUAUAAUGCCAUUCAUGUCAGGUUUCUGUAAAAAAAAAAAAAGAAGGUAUUUACAUGAACUUGUAGAAAUAUGCUACAGGUGAUCCCGCUGUCCUGCUAAGGGAAAGAGACUCUGUAAUUUAAUCUGUAUGGCCAGUUUGGUUUUAAUACUUCCAAUUUCCAUGCUGAACCAAAGCCUGUCAGGCUUUCCAUUCCAGGCACGCUGUGUUUCAGGACCUCAUUCAGCAGGUUUUUAACUCAUGCUGGGCUUGUGAUUCUAAUGAAAUUGCUCAAGUACAUCAGCUGUAAAUAGACUUAGACCUUAGAAUUAGGCCUAAUUAGCCCUUUAAAUGAAGAAAAAUGAACAAAUGCCUGAAUUAAAUCUUACUCAACACCAACCCUCCUCAAAGCUAUGUCAACUACUAAGUCUUUUAGAGUGGAUACUUUUGUGCAUAUUACUGUCCUGUGCAGCACAGCAUGAACAGUUUAAUAGGCAAGAACCAUUCCUCAUCUUUCCUUUUUGAAAUCCUGAGCUAUUUUUUCUGUGUAUUCUGAAACAAAAGUAAGAUGCCUUGAAUAAUUUCCUGCUUCUGCACAGGAGGCCCAGUGAACAGACUGUUUUACACAUCUGUAAAUCCUGUAUGAAUGUACAAGCCAGCUCAGUAUAAUGUUGGGCUUAUUUCCAAAGCCUGUGGAGGUGUGGGGGUUGGGGACUUGCACGGAAGCAGGAAAGACAAGGAAGUUCUGCAAGAAUGAAAAUAAAUAGUGACUUUGGAACAAAACACGUGGUUUCAAGUGCAGCAGCUCUCCUCUGGAGUUGUCCUAAGAUGGGGUCACAGCAGCUGCUGUGAGUUAGGAGGUGCCUCAACAAAAGUGGUCAUUGUUCUACACUCCAGAAAUUCUAAUUUAUUUUAGUCUUGCUUUCCCUGUGGAAAUUCAGAUUAUCAAAAAAGAUGUAUUUGUUUUUCACUCCUAGGAGCUAUCAGUUUCCAUUCUGGCCUCCAAAGAGAUUGUACUGCUCCAAUUAGAGCUCUGCCAACUGACUGAUCUGCCAUUCCUCUUCGGUUUCUGGUUCAACAGGAAUGAUGGAUGGACUGAAAUGCCAAAGCCCCUGAAAUUCCUGGAGACAGCUGGGUCCAAGGCUGAAGUCAAGCACAGGCAGGUGAGGUAGGAGAUCCCAGUCCCUCAUUUAAGAGCCCAUCCAAGCAGGGUGGAAUGUUUGGAUUCCCUGCCCCGGGCACUCACCGGGCCUGCCUGCUCCGCUCUGUCGGUCGGAGUUUUCACAGCAGCACCUUUGGCAGGCUCCAUCCGUCUGUCUGUUUGUGCAGCCCCCAGGUAGUCUGGUGGUGGGAGGACAACUUCUCCUUUCUCCACAAGGUUCACAGAGCUCACACUUCGGAUUGGUGCAGGGCUGCAAGACAGAACCCAACAAAUACCAUUGUCAGAUGCCAGAACCCAUCUCGCACUGCUCUUCAGCACCAGGAAAGCACAGAAGUCAAUAAUGGGGUGCAAUGUCCUGGAGCCAGUGGGACUGAGUUAAGGCUGUUCUGAAACUACUCCUUGGGUCUGUGUGUAACCAUUAAAAUACUUCAUUAACAUAAUUAAAGCAUUUUACUGCA
Molecule: long non-coding RNA, 2222 nt
Organism: Parus major (Great Tit)
Lineage: Eukaryota; Metazoa; Chordata; Aves; Passeriformes; Paridae
Exons: 2
Source: RefSeq, a predicted model, not a curated record